UUCGGUUGUUUGCAUGGCACUUUAGCCGUGCCGGUGGCUGUUACGCAGUGUGACUUCGGGGAUGUCUCGUAAAAGGUGCAUGAGUGGUGUUUGGUUUGAUACGGGUGGUUGGCUCCCUGCUUGAGCAGGCACGGCCACGCGUACAUUCCUUUUCAGUUGUGCGGCAAGGCUUGUAUCGUCUUGAUUGCAUAGUCGGGUUUCCUGUGUUGCCUACCUGAUCAACGGCAUCGUAUUGAUCAAAAGCGGUACCCUUUUCGUCAGACGUUGCAACUGCAAUGUCGGAUGAACCAUGUAGCAUCCUCUUUGAUCCCUAUAGUCGAUGAACAUUCGUUGAUUGUUGGGCCCGUUGGGGGUGACUUGGUCUCUUGGAUUUGGAAGCUAAAGCGGGCAUGGGUUCGUAUGAUCCUUUUACUGCCCUCGUUGAACGUUCUCGCUUCUCUUAAACGACUGCCUUUCACGUAUGGCAUGUCCCAACGUGUUUGGCUAUGUCCAAAAAGAAUGUUACCUGGUUGAUCCUGCCAGUAGUCAUAUGCUUGUCUCAAAGAUUAA
This 549-nucleotide unclassified non-coding RNA is filed under the name Aster ageratoides var. pendulus. RNAcentral describes it as "partial contains external transcribed spacer and 18S ribosomal RNA". The stretch from base 503 to 549 matches the Rfam family "Eukaryotic small subunit ribosomal RNA", at positions 1 to 47 of the family's 1831-position model. Lineage: Eukaryota; Viridiplantae; Streptophyta; Magnoliopsida; Asterales; Asteraceae. The record is from RNAcentral.